RNAcentral lists this ribosomal RNA (604 nucleotides) under Rhodococcus sp. CMT92. RNAcentral describes it as "bacterial SSU rRNA". It matches the Rfam family "Bacterial small subunit ribosomal RNA", at positions 271 to 885 of the family's 1533-position model. Lineage: Bacteria; Bacillati; Actinomycetota; Actinomycetes; Mycobacteriales; Nocardiaceae. The record is from RNAcentral.
AGGCGACGACGGGUAGCCGGCCUGAGAGGGCGACCGGCCACACUGGGACUGAGACACGGCCCAGACUCCUACGGGAGGCAGCAGUGGGGAAUAUUGCACAAUGGGCGCAAGCCUGAUGCAGCGACGCCGCGUGAGGGAUGACGGCCUUCGGGUUGUAAACCUCUUUCAGCAGGGACGAAGCGUGAGUGACGGUACCUGCAGAAGAAGCACCGGCCAACUACGUGCCAGCAGCCGCGGUAAUACGUAGGGUGCAAGCGUUGUCCGGAAUUACUGGGCGUAAAGAGCUCGUAGGCGGUUUGUCGCGUCGUCUGUGAAAACCAGCAGCUCAACUGUUGGCUUGCAGGCGAUACGGGCAGACUUGAGUAUUUCAGGGGAGACUGGAAUUCCUGGUGUAGCGGUGAAAUGCGCAGAUAUCAGGAGGAACACCGGUGGCGAAGGCGGGUCUCUGGGAAAUAACUGACGCUGAGGAGCGAAAGCGUGGGKAGCGAACAGGAUUAGAUACCCUGGUAGUCCACGCCGUAAACGGUGGGCGCUAGGUGUGGGUUUCCUUCCACGGGAUCCGUGCCGUAGCUAACGCAUUAAGCGCCCCGCCUGGGGAGUACGG